RNAcentral lists this transfer RNA (76 nucleotides) under Candidatus Rokubacteria bacterium RIFCSPHIGHO2_02_FULL_73_26. RNAcentral describes it as "tRNA-Lys". It matches the Rfam family "tRNA". Rfam says of the family: Transfer RNA (tRNA) molecules are approximately 80 nucleotides in length. Their secondary structure includes four short double-helical elements and three loops (D, anti-codon, and T loops). Further hydrogen bonds mediate the characteristic L-shaped molecular structure. tRNAs have two regions of fundamental functional importance: the anti-codon, which is responsible for specific mRNA codon recognition, and the 3' end, to which the tRNAs corresponding amino acid is attached (by aminoacyl-tRNA synthetases). tRNAs cope with the degeneracy of the genetic code in two manners: having more than one tRNA (with a specific anti-codon) for a particular amino acid; and 'wobble' base-pairing, i.e. permitting non-standard base-pairing at the 3rd anti-codon position. RNAcentral also lists the same sequence under 2 other names. The record is from RNAcentral. Lineage: Bacteria; Candidatus Rokuibacteriota.
GAGCCGUUAGCUCAGUUGGUAGAGCGCCUGACUUUUAAUCAGGGGGUCGGAGGUUCGAUCCCUCCACGGCUCACCA